AUGCAUGGUCUUUUAAUAGAGGGUUGUAACUUGAAUGUACUCGUGAUUAUGUUGAUGUUUGCAAUCUGUUUUGGAUUAUUCUUGCAGGGCUACAAUAUGCUCGUAGGUGAACUAUUUGUGUUAAUUCACGUAAUGCAUGUUACAAAGAAGUAUGGCUAUUUUGGAGAAGUUAGAUAUCAAAGAUGA
This is a non-coding RNA of Vicia faba (fava bean), 186 nucleotides long. The record is from the annotation of a GenBank genome assembly. NCBI's taxonomy places the organism in Eukaryota, Viridiplantae, Streptophyta, Magnoliopsida, Fabales, Fabaceae.